GAUGAACGCUGGCGGCGUGCUUAACACAUGCAAGUCGAACGGAAAGGCCCAAGCUUGCUUGGGUACUCGAGUGGCGAACGGGUGAGUAACACGUGGGUGAUCUGCCCUGCACUUCGGGAUAAGCCUGGGAAACUGGGUCUAAUACCGGAUAGGACGAUGGUUUGGAUGCCAUGGGGGAAAGUGUUUUCGGUGUGGGAGGAGCUCGCGGCGUAUCUGCGUGUGUGUGGGGUAAUGGCGUACCAAGGGGUCGACGCGUGGCCGGCCUGUGAGGGUGUACGGGGACAUUUGGACUGAGAUACGGCCCAGACUCCUCCGCGGGGGAGAAGUGGGGGAUAUUGCACAAUGUGCGCAAGACUGAGGCAGCGCAGCCGCGUGGGGGAUGACGGCGUUCGGGUUGUAAACUCCUUUCGCUAGGGACGAAGCGUUUUUGUGACGGUAACUGGAGAAGAAGCACCGGCUAACUACGUG
This 468-nucleotide ribosomal RNA is filed under the name uncultured bacterium. Its description in RNAcentral is "partial 16S ribosomal RNA". It matches the Rfam family "Bacterial small subunit ribosomal RNA", at positions 28 to 507 of the family's 1533-position model. The record is from RNAcentral.